UACAUGGAACUCAUUCAGAAACUGCUGUGGGAUUGGUAGCAGCUGUUCCAUGAAUGGGAAAUUAGGGUCCCACACCCCAAAGGAACAGAGAAAGAAUCUGACACACAUUCAACCAAUUUAACAUUAACAAGCACUUAUUGGAAGCAGUGCCUCAUGACAGCCUCACAAAGCCUGGUUUCCCUCUGCUGCUAACUGGCCUGCAUUUACAAACAACACACACACGAAGAUGAAGAGAGACAGUACUUGGUUAUUUACACAUGACGACUGUAAGUCUGGUUCUGCCAAGUCCUGCCUGUUGUUGAAGCGUCUCUCCAGCGAGAUUCACUCUGGACACUGAUCCCUGAAGACAGCUGUCAAGUCUGGCUGCGCUGAUGGGACCUGGAUCCACACGUGUCCUGGGGAAUGUUCCGAUCCUGUUGCUCUGCGUUUCUUUUGUUCUGUAUUCAAUAAACUGCUGUUUGCGCUAGCUGUUGAGUGU
RNAcentral lists this long non-coding RNA (478 nucleotides) under Lepisosteus oculatus (spotted gar). RNAcentral's name for it is "lncRNA (ENSLOCG00000023287.1)". The record is from RNAcentral. Lineage: Eukaryota; Metazoa; Chordata; Actinopteri; Semionotiformes; Lepisosteidae.